GACGAACGCUGGCGGCGUGCUUAACACAUGCAAGUCGAACGGAAAGGCCCUGCUUUUGUGGGGUGCUCGAGUGGCGAACGGGUGAGUAACACGUGAGUAACCUGCCCUUGACUUUGGGAUAACUUCAGGAAACUGGGGCUAAUACCGGAUAGGAGCUCCUGCUGCAUGGUGGGGGUUGGAAAGUUUCGGCGGUUGGGGAUGGACUCGCGGCUUAUCAGCUUGUUGGUGGGGUAGUGGCUUACCAAGGCUUUGACGGGUAGCCGGCCUGAGAGGGUGACCGGCCACAUUGGGACUGAGAUACGGCCCAGACUACUACGGGGGGCAGCAGUGGGGAAUAUUGCACAAUGGGCUGAAGCCUGAUGCAGCAACGCCGCGUGCGGGAUGACGGCCUUCGGGUUGUAAUCCGCUUUCGCCUGUGACGAAGCGUGAGUGACGGUAAUGGGUAAAGAAGCACCGGCUAACUACGUG
Molecule: ribosomal RNA, 468 nt
Filed under: uncultured bacterium
Lineage: Bacteria
Description: partial 16S ribosomal RNA
Rfam family: Bacterial small subunit ribosomal RNA
Source: RNAcentral